This 690-nucleotide ribosomal RNA is filed under the name uncultured Acidobacteriota bacterium. RNAcentral describes it as "bacterial SSU rRNA". It matches the Rfam family "Bacterial small subunit ribosomal RNA", at positions 16 to 708 of the family's 1533-position model. The record is from RNAcentral. Lineage: Bacteria; Pseudomonadati; Acidobacteriota.
GACCUGGCUCAGAAUCAACGCUGGCGGCGUGCCUAACACAUGCAAGUCGAACGAGAAAGCGGGGGCAACUCCGUGAGUAAAGUGGCGCACGGGUGAGUAACACGUAGCUAACCUACCCUCGAGUGGGGGAUAACCUGGGGAAACUCGGGCUAAUACCGCAUAACAUCCCGCAAGGGAUCAAAGGCCCGCAAGGGCCGCUCGUGGAGGGGGCUGCGGCCGAUUAGCUAGUUGGUGAGGUAAUGGCCCACCAAGGCGAUGAUCGGUAGCCGGCCUGAGAGGGCGCACGGCCACACUGGCACUGAAACACGGGCCAGACUCCUACGGGAGGCAGCAGUGGGGAAUUUUGCACAAUGCCCGAAAGGGUGAUGCAGCAACGCCGCGUGGAGGAUGAAGGUCUUCGGAUCGUAAACUCCUUUCGACCGGGAAAAAUGGGCGGGUGAAGAGCCCGUUCUGAUGGUACCGGUGGAAGAAGCCCCGGCCAACUACGUGCCAGCAGCCGCGGUAAUACGUAGGGGGCGAGCGUUGUUCGGAAUUACUGGGCGUAAAGGGCGUGUAGGCGGUGCGGUAAGUCAGGCGUGAAAUCCCCGGGCUUAACUCGGGGCGGUCGCUUGAGACUGCCGUGCUCGAGUGUGGGAGAGGGAAGCGGAAUUCCCGGUGUAGCGGUGAAAUGCGUAGAUAUCGGGAGGAACG